GCCGGGUGUGGUGGCUCACACCUGUAAUCCCAGCACUUUGGGAGGCUGAGGUGGGCAGAUCACCUGAGGUCAGGAGUUCGAGACCAGCCUGGCCAACAUGGUGAAACCCCAUCUCUA
This 117-nucleotide non-coding RNA is filed under the name Homo sapiens (human). Lineage: Eukaryota; Metazoa; Chordata; Mammalia; Primates; Hominidae. The record is from Rfam by way of RNAcentral.